This 4861-nucleotide long non-coding RNA is filed under the name Homo sapiens (human). Its description in RNAcentral is "HSALNT0030019". Lineage: Eukaryota; Metazoa; Chordata; Mammalia; Primates; Hominidae. The record is from RNAcentral.
CAACCUCUGCCUCCCGGGUUCAAGUGAUUCUCCUGCCUCUGCUUCCUGAGUAGCUGGGAUUACAGGUAUCUGCCACCACUCCAGGUUAAUUUUUUCUAUUUUUAGUAGAGACGGAAUUUCACCAUGUUGACCCAGCUGGUUUUGAACUCCUGACCUCAGGUGAUUCACUUGCCUUGGCCUCCCAAAGUGUUGAGAUUACAGGCAUGAGUCACUGCACCCAGCCAAAAAUGUUUUUUUAGGCAAUGCAUGCACAAACAUUUAGAGGCCAAGUGUGUCAUGAUGUCUGCAACUUUCAAUGUUCAGCAAAAAUCAACAUGGAGAGAGAAAGAGGGCACACAUGUGGCAAAAUAUUAGCCAUUGUACAAUUGGUAAAUCUAGAUGACAGUACACAGGUGUUUGUUGUAUUAUUCUUUGAACUUUUCUGUAGAUUUGGAAAUGUUCUGCGUAGAGAGAAAUCUUUUUUUAAAAAAACAAUAUCUGGUUUUGAUUAAUGAGGCUAUAUUCAAAAGAAACACUAAAUGAUGUGGCCAGUUAGUGAGAAUGUAGCCUUAUCUUUACUGACCUCAUUUUAAUAUUCCUACUCUGGCUGGGCAUGGUGGCUCACGCCUAUAAUCCCAGCACUCUGGGAGGCCGAGACGGGUGGAUCACCUGAGGUCAGGGGUUCGAGACCAGCCUGGCCAACAUGGUGAAACCCCAUCUCUACUAAAAAUACAAAAAUUAGCUGGGUGUGGUGGUAGGCGCCUGUAAUCCCAGCUACUCGGGAGUCCGUGGCAGGAGAAUCGCUUGAACCCAGGAGGUGGAGGUUGCAGUGAGCUGAGAUCACGCCAUUGCACUCCAGCCUGGGUGACAAGAGCAAAACUCAGUCUCAAAAAAAAAAAAGAAAAAAAAAGAUAUAUAUAUUCCUACUCUUAUUAAAUGAAUAUAGCAUUUCUUAGCAACUUCUUUUGAUUUGUGAGUAUAUAUUUUCUUGGCCUCAAAAUUAAAGUAAAAAGUAUCCUCUUACUCAGAGGAGGACAGGGGCAAGAGCCUGGGACCUUAUUUGCUAAUUAAAAUGCACACACACACACACACACACAGAAAUUUUGAGAGCCAUUUUAAUAUAAUUGCCUCCCUAGAAACAUACCUUUUAGGGAAUUUUUAUCACUAAACCACAUGUUAUUUAAAUACGUACAUGUUUAACAUAAAUACAUACAUAAAAUUCACAUGCAUACUUAACACUUAUGUUAAAUAUAUUCAAUGUAUAUACAUAUGUACACAAUAUAUGCAUAUAUACAUGUGGGUAUGUGGUAUGUGUGCAUGUGUGUGUAUGGCCAGCUACAUAAUUUGUGGGACUAAGGGCAAAAUGAAACUGUACGGCCCUCGUUCAAAAAUUAGGUGUGGGGUGCUUCUAAGCACAGUCUUGUGCAACUGCACAGGUUGCAUGUCCAUGAAGCCAUCCUGUGUGUGUGCACAUAUGUGUAUGAAUAUGUAUUUUAUAUAAUACAUAUAUAUGCAUGUAUGUAUCUGAGAAGAAAUGUUUAAAAGGCUACAUACAAGCUUUUCCAGGUCUCUACUAUCUGUUAACUAACUAGAGACAUAACUCACAAUAUGCAGUCCCCACUGAGUGUUCACCAUAAUUUGAGAUUCUUGGCAUGUUAACUUUUCAUUAUGGAAUAUUGAAUAAUUUCAAUAUUAUUCAUACAUUUCUUUAUGUUCAAACAUACACAAAAAUAGAAUAAUGAAACUCUACCCAUCACCCAGCUGCAACAAAUAUCAAUACUUUACCGUUCUUAAUACAUCUAACCCCUUACUUUUUGUUUGUUUCUUUUGGUGAAGUAUUUAAUUGUAAUUUUUUUUUUAAGAGACAGGAUCUCACUCUGUCACCCAGGCCAGAGUACAGUGGUACGAUCACAGCUCCUUGUAACCUCGAACUCCUAGGCUCAAGUGAUCCUCCUGCCUCAGCCGCUUGAAUAGCUGGGACUACAUGCAUACACCAACACACCCAACUAAUUUUUAAAUUUUUUGUAGAAAUAUGGUCUUGCUGUGUUUCCCAGGCUGGUCUCAAACUCCUGGCCUUGAGAGAUUCUCCUGCCUUGGUCUUCCAAACUGCUGGGAUUACAAUAUCCGGCCCUACUGGAAUAUUUUAAAGUAAAUCUCAGGUGUUACAUCAUUGCACUUGUAAGUACUUUAAAAUGUAUCUCUAGCAGAUAAAUCUUUUUAACAAAACCACAGCAUCAUUGUCACACUCAAAAAAUUGACAAGAUUUCCUUAAUUAUCAUAUAAUAGUCUGUAUUGUUUCUAUCUCAAAAAUACAGUUUUCUUGGUUGUUGAAAUCUAGAUCCAACAUUGCAUUUGGUUGAUGUGUCUCCUUUACUCUGUAAAAUUUACCCCUGCGUUUUAGUUCUUUUCGGCUUUUAUUUGUCCUGUGGAAUUUCCUCCACUCAGGAUUUGACUGAGAGUAUCCCCAGAGUGUCCAGUUAGACCUAGAAGCUGGAUUUGAUCCUGGUUCAUUUAUUUUCCCCCAAGAAUACUCCAUAGGUGAUGCUAUACACUUUCUCUUACAUCAUUUCAGGAGGAACAUGAUGUCUGAUUGUUCCACUUUCAGUGAUUUUAAUAUUGAUCAAUGAGUUCUGGUGGUACCAACUACUACAAAGUUUCUCAUCAAUCUUUCACCUGAUGGUUUUAGCAGCUAUUGAUAAUUGUUGCCUGGAUCCAUUAUUUCAUUUCAGGGGUUGUAAAAUAGUGAUUUUCUGGUUCUAUCAAACCUCUUGCAUUUAUCAUCUAUGAUUCUUCUUUAAGGAACUUUCUCUAAAUCUGAAUGGGAAAGAUGCGAUAAAUAUUUAUCAAAUUUUAGAGUGAGUUAGUGCCCUAGCAACCUCCACAGUUGACAAAUGAGUAUUUCUUUAAAGCAAGGUAUGGCCCAACCAAUACUUUGAAACUAGCAUGUUUAGAAUAGAGCAGGAGGAAACUAUAUUUGAAAGGUCAGAAGUGGAAAGACUAAGAGGGCCUGAACAAUAAGAGGACAGAACCAAGAGGAGUUGGCAACUAAUUGGAUGUGGGGAUUAAGGAAAGGUAAGCAUCAAAGAUUACCUCCAAGUUUGUUAGAAGGUUAGUAGCAGGAUUCUGAUGCCAUUCAAGUAAAUACAAGUCUCAGUCAGAUGAACCCCAAGAGCCACAUGUAUUUGAGGGGUACUUUGUCUCACACUUUUACCUGUUACAUGGUUUUCAGUAAUUUAGAAUUUAAGCCAGUAGUGGGGCGACUGUACAUCUAUCGACAUGGUGAGGUAGAGCAUGUUUGGGAGGAAAGACGUUGAAUCCCAUUUGGUGACAGUGAGCUUGAGGUGCUGCCAGAACACUGCACUGAAGAUAGGAGGAGACUGUAGGAAAUACAAGAUAGGAAAGGUCUCCACUGAAAUGUUAACUCUUUCUCUCUAAACGGCCAUCCAGGCCUCAAUGUCUGCAGUUUCUGAUCUGUGAUUAUGACUUAUCCAAAUCUUACAUUUCUUAAAAAUAGUCAUAGAUGAAGGGAAUCACAGUUGAUAGUUAUAUGGUGACAUUAUUGGCUUAAAUUCUAAAUAACUAGAAACUGUAUAAUAGGCAAAACUGUGAGGCAAAUAAAAUGCUUCUCAAAUCUGUGUGGCUCUUAUGGGGUUAAUUUGAUUUGGACCUGUAUUAAUUUCUUAUGGCUGCUAUAACUAACAAAUUACCACAAACUUGGUGGUUUAAAACAACACACAUUUAUUCUCUUUCUGUUCUGGAGGCCAGAAGUCUAAAAUGAGAUUCACUGGGCUGCAGUUCACUGGGCAAGGCCAUGCUCCUCUGGAGGCUUCCAUGAUGCAUCCCAUAUUCAGUGUUUCCCGAGUAAGCCCCACCCAUGCAGGUCUGCAGUUUUACCUCAACAGGCUUUUGCACUCAGUGGCUCUCUCCUGUGGUUUCUAUCUGAAAUUCUCUUCAUUUUUUUUUUAAUAACUGCUUUAUUGAGAUAUAAUUCACAUGCCAUACAAUUCACCUAUACAGUAUACAAUUCAGUAGUGUUUACUAUAUUCAGAGUUGUGCAACUAUCAUUUUUCUCACCCCCAAAAGAAACCCUAUGCCCGUUAGUAUUCACUCUGUUUUCUCACAACUCUAGGUAACCACUAAUCUACUCUCCAUCUCUAUAGAUUUGCCCAUGCUAGACAUUUCAUAUAAAUGGAAUCAUACAUGUGGUCUUUUUCACUGAGUAUAUUUUCAAGGUGCAUCCCAGCUGUGGCAUGAAUCAGCAUCUCAUUCCUUUUUAUUGCCAAAUAAUAUUCUAUCAUAUGGAUAUGUCGCAUUUUAUGUAUCCAUUCAUCAGCUGAUGGACAUUUGGGUUGUUUGUACUUUUUGGCUACCAUGAAUAAUGCUACUAUGAACUUUUGUGUACAAAUCUUAUGUGGACUUGUUUUCAUUUCUCUUGGAUGUAUAUUCCUAGGAGAAUGGCUGGAUUAUACAGUAACUCUUUCCUCAUAACUUUGCAUAUCAAAAUUAUAUCCAUCUUUCAGAACCCAAAUUCAGUGUUAUUUCCAAAGUGUUCCAACAUCUCCCACUCAAAAUGAAUCUUCUCCCUAGUACUCCCAUUGUUUAGUACCUAAUUGUUCUUACCAGUUUGUCUUAGAGCUCAGUCAUUCCUACACAGCACUUUUCUUCAUUAUACUGCUAAUUUCAUUACACUGUAAGAGUGGGGACAAGCUGUUCUUCUUGUAUACCAGAAAGUAGUGAGUGCACUGCUGUGAAGAAAGCAGGAACUCAAAAGUUAAGAAUUUUGAAUGAGCCUAUAAAAUGUGUCUAAUAAAUAAUAAUGUUCAUUUUCAAAUCUCAACAAUUAAAUGUUUAACAAAUAACACUUGAAAUAAAUGUUUAUUAG